GGAUCUUCCAUUUGAUCCGACUGGUGAACUUGAGAGCCUUCGGUCUUUCAUUGAAGUCAAUAUUGAUAUCUGUAAAUGGGUUGGUAUUGCUGUGGUUGUAAUUCAGGCAUUAUCUCUACUACUAUCGAUAAUUCUGCGAGCCAUGGUUUCUACUCGGAGAACUGACUUGGACUGUGAGGAUGACUAUGAUGGUAGAGGUAGAGGUUGGGAGCCACUGUUAAAUUCACAACCAAGCCAACCAGUUGGGUCAAACAAGGGUGAUGUCAGAGGGGCUCAUUCUGACAUCUGGAGCUCACGGAUAAGAGAGAAGUAUGGACUGAGCACGAAUCAGAAUGCAUCAGUGAGCACAAACUCAAGGCAGUGAAGAUCAGAGAAUGUUUUCCAUCUCACAGGGCAGAAAAAGGCCGGCAGCAUACUCUCCUCUUAAGUUGAUACCUGAAUAUAUAUCAUUGAUGUGUAGAUUUUUCACUCUUUUAAAAAAGUUUGUGAUGUAUAUAGUCAUUGAAGGUGUGCUUGGUAACUUGCUAUUGUUGUCUGAGGGAAAGUCUUGAUGACGUGAUUGUUAACAAGAAAAGUGGUUAUGGUUAAUGCUGUGUUUUCAUUGUCUUCCAAAGUAAUUUGUGAGUGGUUCUAAUGUUAUGCUGUAUAGACCCUGUUUUAUUGGUUUACUGAAAUAAGAAA
Corylus avellana is the source of this 681-nucleotide non-coding RNA. NCBI's taxonomy places the organism in Eukaryota, Viridiplantae, Streptophyta, Magnoliopsida, Fagales, Betulaceae. The record is from RefSeq and is a predicted model, not a curated record.